Molecule: ribosomal RNA, 1597 nt
Filed under: soil metagenome
Description: bacterial LSU rRNA
Rfam family: Bacterial large subunit ribosomal RNA
Source: RNAcentral
UAGGUGUAGGCGCAGCGAAAGCGAGUCUGAAUAGGGCGAUUGAGUUUGAUGCAUUAGACCCGAAACCCGGCGAUCUAGGCAUGACCAGAGUGAAGGUGCGGUAACACGCACUGGAGGCUCGAACCGAUUAACGUUGAAAAGUUACCGGAUGAGUUGUGUUUAGGGGUGAAAGGCCAAUCAAGCCGGGAAAUAGCUGGUUCUCCGCGAAAACUAUUGAGGUAGUGCCUCGGAUGUUUUCCGAUGGGGGUAGAGCACUGGAUGGGCUAGGGGGCCGCGAGGUCUACCAAACCUAACCAAACUCCGAAUACCAUCGAGUAUAGUCCGGGAGACAGACGGCGGGUGCUAAGGUCCGUCGUCAAAAGGGAAACAGCCCUAACCUACAGCUAAGGUCCCCAAGUCAUCACUAAGUGGGAAAGCAUGUGGGAAUCCCAAAACAACCAGGAGGUUGGCUUAGAAGCAGCCAUCCUUUAAAGAAAGCGUAACAGCUCACUGGUCUAAUUAAGGGUUCCUGCGGCGAAGAUGUAACGGGGCUAAAGUGAUGCACCGAAGCUUAGGGUUCAGAUCUUUGAUCUGAGCGGUAGCGGAGCGUUCCGUAAGCCUGUGAAGCGGGAGGGUAACCGACCGUGGAGGUAUCGGAAGUGCGAAUGCUGACAUGAGUAGCGAUAAAGAGGGUGAGAUGCCCUCUCGCCGAAAGCCCAAGGGUUCCUGCGCAAGGCUAAUCCGCGCAGGGUGAGUCGGCCCCUAAGACGAGCCCGAAGGGGGUAGUCGAUGGGAAGCAGGUUAAUAUUCCUGCACCUGGUGGUGUGUGACGGAUCUCGUAAGUCGUCAGUCCUUAUUGGAUUGGACUGGCGGCGAAGAGGUUCCAGGAAACAGCCCCACCUCCCUUUAAUGGGAAGACCGUACCCGAAACCGACACAGGUGGGCAGGUAGAGUAUACCAAGGCGCUUGAGAGAAGGGUGUUGAAGGAACUCGGCAAAUUGCCUCCGUACCUUCGGAAGAAGGAGGCCCUCAUCGCGGGCAACCGCUUUGAGGGGGCACAGGCCAGGGGGUAGCGACUGUUUAACAAAAACACAGGGCUCUGCUAAGUCGGCUUCAAGACGACGUAUAGGGUCUGACGCCUGCCCGGUGCCGGAAGGUUAAGAGGAGGAGUGCAAGCUCCGAAUUGAAGCCCCGGUAAACGGCGGCCGUAACUAUAACGGUCCUAAGGUAGCGAAAUUCCUUGUCGGGUAAGUUCCGACCUGCACGAAUGGCGUAACGACUUCCCCACUGUCUCCAACACCUGCUCAGCGAAAUUGAAUUCUCCGUGAAGAUGCGGAGUACCCGCGGUUAGACGGAAAGACCCCGUGCACCUUUACUGCAGCUUCAGAGUGGCAGUGGAAAACAACUGUGUAGAAUAGGUGGGAGGCUUUGAAGCCCGGGCGCCAGCUCGGGUGGAGCCACCUGUGAAAUACCACCCUGUUGUUUUCUACAGUCUAACCUCGCACCGUUAUCCGGUGCAGGGACCCUCUGUGGCGGGUAGUUUGACUGGGGCGGUCGCCUCCUAAAGAGUAACGGAGGCGCGCGAUGGUGGGCUCAGGACGGUUGGAAACCGUCUGUU